This 1028-nucleotide long non-coding RNA is filed under the name Mytilus galloprovincialis (Mediterranean mussel). Lineage: Eukaryota; Metazoa; Mollusca; Bivalvia; Mytilida; Mytilidae. The record is from RNAcentral.
AAAACAUUCACAAUUUCUUUUUUCAGAACAUUCAGAAUUUUUAUUAAGUGCUAGAAUUUCAACUUAAAUCGAAUUGUACAUGUAAGUAUAAACUGUAUGCUAUUUUCAAUUGUCCCAAAUAUAUAUAUAUAAUACUGGUUCAGAUUGUGACAUAUGGGUAUAAUACUUAUUCCAAAUUGAUCCCGGUAUUAACAAUCAUUUCCUGAAAAGAGUUUGUGAUUUAAAUUAAACUUUGUUUUUGAAAUUGAUUAAAAAGUACAAAUGUUGAAAAGAGGAACUUUGUGUGUUAUGAUUGCAAUUCAAAAUGAUGUAAAAAUAUAAUAUGCUUUUUUUAAAACUAAUUCCAGGAGUCAGUAUUGGCUUUCGAUGAUAAUUAACACUUCUUGAAUAAAGUCUUUAUGUCCACAAUAUGUAAGAAUGAACAUCAUCAGUGCACGAUUCGAAUAAAAAGAGGACGAAAGAUACCAAAGGGACAGUCAAACUCAUAAAUCUAAAACAAACUGACAACGCCAUGGCUGAAAAUGAAAAAGACAAACAGAAAAACAAUAGUAAACAUGACACAACAUAGAAAACUAAAGAAUAAACAACACGAACCCCACAAAAAAACUAGGGGUGAUCUCAGGUGCUCCGGAAGGAAAAGCAGAUCCUGCUCCACAUGUGGCACCCGUCGUGUUGCUAUGUGAUUACAAAUCCGGUAAAUAGUCUAAUACGUGAGAAAACCUUUUAUAUUUAAAAGUAAACUUUUAUUACAGACCAGAGCCUUCCUAGUGAUAAAUUACGAACUAUAGUCUCUUUUUGUUAUUCUAGAAUGAAUUGACAAUAAAAGUAUAGCUGUCUAAGUUGUUUUAAAACAGAGUUAGAGAAACGAAAGACGAUAUACUUAACCAUGGUGUGACAUAUCUAAAGGCGUUGGUGCUGCACAACAUGGAGGAACAACCUUCAACAUCAGGAGGCAUAAAGCGUUCAAUACCACAGGAAUUACAAGACGAAAUCGACAGGAUAGCUUCAAAAGUACCACGAAACACAGG